This 247-nucleotide ribosomal RNA is filed under the name uncultured Lactobacillus sp. RNAcentral's name for it is "partial 16S ribosomal RNA". It matches the Rfam family "Bacterial small subunit ribosomal RNA", at positions 115 to 355 of the family's 1533-position model. Lineage: Bacteria; Bacillati; Bacillota; Bacilli; Lactobacillales; Lactobacillaceae. The record is from RNAcentral.
ACGUGGGGAACCUGCCCCAUAGUCUGGGAUACCACUUGGAAACAGGUGCUAAUACCGGAUAAGAAAGCGGAUCGCAUGAUCAGCUUUUAAAAGGCGGCGUAAGCUGUCGCUAUGGGAUGGCCCCGCGGUGCAUUAGCUAGUUGGUAAGGUAAAGGCUUACCAAGGCGAUGAUGCAUAGCCGAGUUGAGAGACUGAUCGGCCACAUUGGGACUGAGACACGGCCCAAACUCCUACGGGAGGCAGCAGC